Long non-coding RNA from Dendroctonus ponderosae (mountain pine beetle), 359 nucleotides. RefSeq lists it as uncharacterized. Lineage: Eukaryota; Metazoa; Arthropoda; Insecta; Coleoptera; Curculionidae. The transcript has 2 exons. The record is from RefSeq and is a predicted model, not a curated record.
ACUUUCAGCGGUAUUCCCUCAAGCAACUUUUUUUUUUUUUGAAUUUAUCAAUACACCCUCAUCUGACCGUUUCAUAUCUCCGUAAAACUCUUACCGUGACCAAAACACUUAAAAUUUUAUAAAUAUUUUAUGCGCAUUUUGACUGACGACGAAAGAACAGAUGGAAAUUGAAAACGUUCGACUACUAUUCCCAAGAAAAUUAUGUACACUUCAGGUAAAGCCUCAGAAAUUGUCAUCAAAGUAAAAGUAUUUGUUUCCAUUCCAUACUAAGCUACAAGAUAGUGUUCAGUAGACUAUUGUGAGUUGGUGCAUUUAUUUAUUGUCAUGGAAAAAGUCCAAUAAAGCACCUCAACUCCUUA